This is a long non-coding RNA of Eleginops maclovinus (Patagonian blennie), 697 nucleotides long. RefSeq lists it as uncharacterized. NCBI's taxonomy places the organism in Eukaryota, Metazoa, Chordata, Actinopteri, Perciformes, Eleginopidae. The record is from RefSeq and is a predicted model, not a curated record. The transcript has 2 exons.
CAGACUCAUUCAUGCCGACAAUGCUCUCCUCCGCGCGGUAAAUCCCUCCAGACAUCGGCAACAAGGCUGGUCUUUCACCGGCAGCGAUAAACAGGAGAAAUGUUACUUUACCUGCGGGGAAUGACGGUGGUAUGUCCUGUGAAGGCUCGGUGACCUUGGAGCAGGAAGAUGCGUGUGUGUUGCCGACGCUUCUCGGUUUGAAUUUCCUGAGCGAGCCGCUGCCUGAGUCUGACGUGUUUCUGCGGGCUGCAUAGGGCGGGCUGCCGGCCUCCUGGAGCGGCUGAGCCCUAGCGUUGCGAGGAUUGGCUCAGGAGGAUUUGCCAACUCAUUUUACUGGAGCUACCUGAAGUGUGAACCCACAGUAUGACCAUGAAUCAUGGCAUGUGGCCAAAGGACACUGCAGAUGACGUCACAUUCUGCAGCGUGUUAUCUGACGGCUUGAUGACGUCUGUUUUCCUUCCAAAAAUGGACUGAAUGGCUUCACUAAAUUUGUAAAGGUUCAUCUCUGAGUUUGGAGAUCAAAUCAGGCUGGGAGACCUUGCAUUGACAUCAUUUCUUUGUUCAGUUUCUAUUACUCAGUGUUGUUUUAUGUGAAAGCUAUUAGUUCCCUCACAGUGCACCACUGAGCCCUGAAACAAAUGUUAUUUUUUAUGCUGCUGCAACGCCCAAAUUGGGAUCAAUAAAGUACUUCUAUCUA